This 571-nucleotide long non-coding RNA is filed under the name Bos indicus x Bos taurus (hybrid cattle). RNAcentral describes it as "lncRNA (ENSBIXG00005008459.1)". The record is from RNAcentral. Lineage: Eukaryota; Metazoa; Chordata; Mammalia; Artiodactyla; Bovidae.
AUGGAGCAGCCAUCGCCUGCAGGAGGAAUACAAGGAGAAAGUCAGCUGAAAUGGAAUUGCAAGUGUCCUUGCUCCAAAUACAAGGUGAGAAUAUUCAGUCCCCGUCAGUUGCUCCCUGAUGCUCACACAAAGGGUCUAGGACCUGGAAUCCUCUGUAAUAACAGAAGGAAUGACUGUGCCGACCCAGUCCUCUGGUAAGAAGAUUCUGCAAUGGGUGAGUGAUGCCAGGCCCAGCCCAGGUGCAGACCUCAGACUUCACUCAAACAUGUGUCAUCUGCCCCUUGAUUUCUCAAUUUAGCCCACAGCCUGAGGAGUGGGUGUGGAGCGGAAGAAGGGAAGAGAAACAGAGGAAAUUACUUAUAAAAAGAAGUUUCAAAUUGAGUCAUACACAUGAGUUAUAACUCAGAGAGAGGCUCUGAGGUAGGAGAGGAAAAGACAGAGACAGCCGUUUUGAGAGGGUUCCUUCUCGUGGGACAAAGAUGUUCAGAUGAGUUGACUGGUAGUUCUGCUCUGGAGACGGAAAGACAGACAGGCAGAGACAGAGGAGUCUGUGCUUUGGGAGGAGAGAGUG